ACUUGUCAGCCCUAUCCUCCAGCUGAAAUUAAAUGCAGAUAAAAUAAAUAGAAUGUUUUAAGGAAAUGGAAAUACCAAGUGCUGGAAUUUCCUGGCUAUAUACAGCUGGAUUUAUUUCAGGCUCUGUGGACAUGGAAAAAAACAUGAGCUCAUACUCCCCAUAUGGGAAAUGUGAUGUUGGUAAGGGAGGAAAACAGAGUUAUAGUCCCUGUUCUAUGGAAACUGCAUGAUUAACCAGGCCAAAGAUGAGAAAAUAGAACUAUCAAGAGUAGCUGCCCAGUUAGAGCUUGGAGAACAGCAUGGGCACAGAGUAUUGAAGCCACUGGAGUAAAUGAAGCCACAUACAACAGCAUUCAGAACAGACCCUUUCUUUCCAACUCCACAGUACUUCUCAGUCCUAUUCCACUUGCUGGACAGGCAGAUGUGCUGUGAACCACUGAGAUAAACCAAUACGUAUGAGGGAAAAAAGGCAACCACUCACUUUUCUGCAAGAUCCAUCCAUGUUUCACAUCAUAGUGUGACUGCACAAACUGACAUGGAUCGACUGCUGGAGCAAUUGAAAGGGUGGGAGCUUGUGGUAUUGUCACCAAACACACUGUCAUGUCAAACCACAGCCUCAGGCAAAGGACUGAAGGAUGUGAUUGGGACCCAGAUCUCUCUCAUCGUGACAGAUUUCCAAGUGUGGAGGAGGUUACAUGCCUUCCUCCAAAAGCUUUGUGAAUCAACCCCAGGACAUUCUUUUCAUAUCUUAACAAUAAAAAUAAAAUAAAAUAAAAUAAAAUCAUUUUCUGCUGGUUUGGGGUUUUGUUUUUGUUUUUAUUUUGGGUGUUCUGUUUUGUUCUGUUGAAUUUAUAUGUAUCUUUCCACUUUUUUUUUUUUCUUGGCUUCAUUUAUCAAGGAAAAAGCCUUGCUUAUGUGACCCCUCCUUUGAAAUAUCUGUCUUUGACUAGCUCUGUAACAGUUUCACAGCUCAUUAAUUCUUCUAUGCAAACUUAUUUAUGAGCACAAAUUAUUCCCCCUUCCUAUCAGUUCUCUACAGAAAGUAGGGGAGGAGAGAGCUGGCACUGGAACGAGUCAUUGCAAGAAUGUUUGGGCUCCAUUUGCAGCUUUCAGGAAAAUAACUUGCAUGUUUGUUCUGUCCUCAUUCACCUGAGAAAUAUACAUUUGUGCUGGUAAUUCCAUUGAAAUAAUUACUGUCUGAGGAGCCAAAGCCUGUUAUCUAGCCAAUUCCCCUCACAAGCCAUAAUGCACAGCUGCAAAGCUCCAGGAGGGCAUUGAAAGGCAUCCUGAAACUUCAUGGUAGUGACAGGGGAGAAAGCGAGGACACCUGGCCCUUCUGGCAUCCGCUGGGGAACAAACUUGUUAUGUGCGGGGAGUGGGGAGGGGCGAGGAGAGACAGGGUUACAGUGGGCUUGUUUGUACUUCCAUCUAAUCUUUAAUCACCUCAAAGACAUUUUUGUGAUCUGUUGAUUUUUUGAACUGUUGCAGAUGGCAGAGAAACCGGGAGUUAAUAGCCUUCUGGGUUCCUACUGGAUUCUGGAUGCUGAAGCAAAAGUCUGCUUUCUUUCCUUUUGCUCUUUGCUCCUUCCUAGGGCAAAUUCCUGUCUUCUUCCUCUUGAAAGGAGCUUUCUUUACAGGAGGAUCAGUUUAUCUCACUUUCCAGCAUGACUGUUUCCACUGCCCAAAGUACCUCAAAGGUCACUCAGCUGCACAGAGCGCUGUGGUGCACUGCAUGAGUCAGUGCUACUCCUGGAGGUCUCAAAGCUGUGCACGUAUCCUCUUGCCAUUCCCAGAAGGACAGAAGCAGACUCAGAAAGCUCAGUGGAAUUUUAUCCCAGAAAUCUCUUCUAAACAUUCUGCCCACACCAAGCAUGCCCUGCACAUAUGCAGAACCAGGGUAGCAGAGCAGAGCAAGCAACAUCCCCACAGAGCUCAUUAUCAGCACUCCCAGCUUGUCACUAUGUAGGACUGCUUCACAAUCAUUCUCUUCGUUGGCAAGGACAGUCUAGGAGCAAGGCAUGAGAGCAGUAGGUAGGGAUGCUCGCACUGCUCCUGUGAGCUCAGAGGUUCCCAGAUUUGCUGAUGAUGUUCCAAGAGACAUGGUUCAUGUUGUAGAAGACCAUCCAUCAGAGAAGGCACACACAGACACCGGGACUAGAGAAUAAGGGUAGAGGCAUGUCACCAGAGGCACAAAGCUGAAAAAGAGGUUUCAGCUCUGUCAUCUGCUAAC
This is a long non-coding RNA of Anas platyrhynchos (mallard), 2230 nucleotides long. RefSeq lists it as uncharacterized. Lineage: Eukaryota; Metazoa; Chordata; Aves; Anseriformes; Anatidae. The record is from RefSeq and is a predicted model, not a curated record.